UCUAUUAUAGUCAAAUAAAUGACGCAAGAUUUAAGCUCUUGAGGUAUAAAUAUUUUUAGAA
RNAcentral lists this transfer RNA (61 nucleotides) under Proasellus aragonensis. Its description in RNAcentral is "transfert RNA-L2(TTA)". Lineage: Eukaryota; Metazoa; Arthropoda; Malacostraca; Isopoda; Asellidae. The record is from RNAcentral.